AACACCUCUACGAAAGAGGAGGCUUAACUAACCCGAAAAGGGUCAAGAAAUGAUCAGAGUACGAAAGGCGUGAGGAGAGGAGCCCGCGGCCCAUCAGCUAGUUGGUGAGUAAUGGCUUACCAAGGCUACGACGGGUAGGGGAUCUGAGAGGAUGUCCCCCACACUGGAACUGAAACACGGUCCAGACGCCUACGGGUGGCAGCAGUGAGGAAUAUUGGACAAUGGGCGAAAGCCCGAUCCAGCAACGCCGCGUGGAGGAUGAAGGCCUUCGGGUCGUAAACUUCUUUAGAGGGAGACGAGAAAGGACGGUAUCCCUAGAAUAAGCGACGGCAAACUACGUG
This 341-nucleotide ribosomal RNA is filed under the name uncultured bacterium. RNAcentral describes it as "bacterial SSU rRNA". It matches the Rfam family "Bacterial small subunit ribosomal RNA", at positions 142 to 507 of the family's 1533-position model. The record is from RNAcentral.